This is a long non-coding RNA of Parus major (Great Tit), 1608 nucleotides long. The record is from Ensembl. Lineage: Eukaryota; Metazoa; Chordata; Aves; Passeriformes; Paridae.
GCCGGGCCGGGCCGGGCCGCGGCACCUGCGGGCGGCAGCCCCCGGCACCGGGCACCCCAAAAAGGGCCCAAAUUCCCCAAGGCUGAGAUGAUGGGUUUUGGUGGUUUUGGUUUUUUUCUCCUGAAGCAAAAGGGUCCCUGGCAGCGGAUUGAGAGCGAGAGCAAGGUGCAACACCUCCACAGCCCGGUGAGGUUUGCAGGGACCGGGCACAAAAGAACACAUGACUACUAAUUCCUUUAGUUCAUAUGGAUGGCAUAGACCUUUUCCCUGGGAGUGUGGAAGUCUUACUGGUCUGGGCAUCAAAUCUGAAAGAGCAAAAUAAGCCAGUGGUCGAGGAUAAUCACGGAAGGAUUAUCCAUCUGUUCUUGCCAUGUGGCACUCUGUCUUCAGUAAGGAGAUACUGCAGUUCACAGCUUCCUGCAGGAACAAGUUCCUAUCUUGGCAAGACAAAAAGGAAGGUUCUUGAAGCUAUAUGGAGACUGAGGAGCCAGAGGAGAAUUCUCGUGAGCAGCACAUCUUUGGACUCCACCGUGCUGGCUCCUGACUUACAGCAAAGCAAGUGACCCAGAGCAGUCAGUGGCUUGUACCAUACCUACCUUGGGAUCUGGCUGCAGGGACACCAGCUCUUAACUUCACAUUAGCCUAACAUUUCUAACCCUUCCUUUUGCAAAACACUGCUGCCUGUCCUUAGUGUCCUGACUUUUGGACAUUCCCCUAAAAGCAGUAUUGUGGCAAGCUCUGAGCCUUCAGUAUUUUUGAAUUGCAUGUCCAACUUAUUUUUCUUAUGUUCUCCAAGGCUUGCUAGUACUUGCCACCAUUCCCUGGUAUAGAUAAUUGUACUGAAAACAUUUACAGGAACACUCCUACAGUUCUUCAAGCAAAUUUGUCUGACAUAGCUCAGACUAUCCAUUUAUAAACUUAAAACUUGCCCAGCUGUCUCUGUCAGAAGCCUAUUAGGCAGCACUCUCACAAACUGCUCUCCUCCAGAGCAGUAAAGACUAUUUGAGAAUGGUGAACUUGUCCUCUGACACAGCUGGACUGGAAAGGAAGUGGAAAUGAGUGAAAAGAGUAACCCCCCUCUCUGGGUUCUAAGUAGUUGUGCAAAAGGGCUAAAAAGCUACUUACUUAGUCUUACAAUGGAGAAAUGAAAAUGAGCACCCUGAAGAAGGAGAAACACUUCUGGCUCUGCUGCUCUUUGUCUCACAUUGCCACUUACUUCAUCUUCAGGACUAAUCUGCAAAAUAUUACUUUUGACCAAGCAGAAGUAUCACAGGAACAAUUAAAUAUCUUGUGGAGGAGAAAGUACUGUACUCUUUACCACCCCUUGCUAAAAGCCAAUAAGCAAACCAUCAAGUCCUUAACCCAGCAUGGGGUAACACUGGAAAUGGUAAAUGCUGUGACACAGCCUACUGUGCUGUAUCAUAAGGAAAAAGAUAAAUGAAAAUAUGUAUUAUAUGUCUUGGGACAAUAUUAGUAGAUAUGCUUGUGACCUUUAAGUAUAUGUAAGACUGUUGCAAAGAGAAAAGCAAUUAAUUGUUCUGAGUUCAAUUACAACAAGAAAAUAUUUAGAAAGACAUUAAUAAAACUUUCUAGGCACUGUUAAAAUCA